UACGAAGGGGGCUAGCGUUGUUCGGAAUUAUUGGGCGUAAAGCGCGCGCAGGCGGUCUUUUAAGUCUGAUGUGAAAGCCCACGGCUCAACCGUGGAGGGUCAUUGGAAACUGGGAGACUUGAGUGCAGAAGAGAAGAGUGGAAUUCCACGUGUAGCGGUGAAAUGCGUAGAGAUGUGGAGGAACACCAGUGGCGAAGGCGACUCUUUGGUCUGUAACUGACGCUGAGGCGCGAAAGCGUGGGGAGCAAACAGG
RNAcentral lists this ribosomal RNA (253 nucleotides) under uncultured bacterium. RNAcentral's name for it is "partial 16S ribosomal RNA". It matches the Rfam family "Bacterial small subunit ribosomal RNA", at positions 524 to 776 of the family's 1533-position model. The record is from RNAcentral.